This 253-nucleotide ribosomal RNA is filed under the name uncultured bacterium. Its description in RNAcentral is "partial 16S ribosomal RNA". It matches the Rfam family "Bacterial small subunit ribosomal RNA", at positions 524 to 776 of the family's 1533-position model. The record is from RNAcentral.
UACGAAGGGGGCUAGCGUUGCUCGGAAUGACUGGGCGUAAAGGGCGCGUAGGCGGAUGGCACAGUCAGAUGUGAAAUUCCCGGGCUUAACCUGGGGGCUGCAUUUGAUACGUGUGAUCUAGAGUGAGGAAGAGGGUCGUGGAAUUCCUGGUGUAGCAGUGAAAUGCGUAGAUAUCAGGAGGAAUACCGAUGGCGAAGGCAGGUCUCUGGGCUGACACUGACGCUCAUGCACGAAAGCGUGGGGAGCAAACAGG